UAUGGUCUCUUUAUUGCUAAAUUUGUAUUGGCUUGAUGGUCACUUUCUACGCCAACGUCUUUCCAAGUGAUCGCCCCCUCAUACAUUGGUUAUAUAUAUAUAUCAUCAUCAUCAUCAUCAUCAAGUAAAACGUAGUAUACUAUAAUAACUUCCUUUGUUCAGUCCUUCGUUGGAGCCAUACACCAAAAAAAAAAAAAAAAAAAAAAAAAUAGAAUGCAAAGCUUCUUCCACCUAUUCUUGUUUCACCAUAUGUUGUUUAUUCAUGAUUUGGCUCAUCAUGGUUUCACCUGUACUCUCUGUGAGGAAAUUAUCCACCACUCCCAGCAGCUACGGAGAUAGUCAUACGGGAGCAGGCAAACACAAAUAUAACCAUGCCGGAUCUGCUAUACCGUCAGGACCAAAAGUAUCAAAAGCACCUACAAAAGGUACUGGUACUACUGUCAUAGGCUACAACUCCAAAACUUUACAAGGAGGAAACGUCAAUAGAGGCUGUCGGCAGUAUGGAAAGUGUAGGCUGGGAAAGUGAAAAAAGCAAAGCAACUGGUUCACGUGUAUGUGGUGGAGAUAUAUAUAUAUAUAUAUAUAUAUAUAUAAGUGAUUCUUUGUAAUAUUUCACAUCCAAAUAAAAAGUUACUCCUUACGUGUU
Cornus florida is the source of this 646-nucleotide long non-coding RNA. RefSeq lists it as uncharacterized. Lineage: Eukaryota; Viridiplantae; Streptophyta; Magnoliopsida; Cornales; Cornaceae. The transcript is spliced from 2 exons. The record is from RefSeq and is a predicted model, not a curated record.